Molecule: ribosomal RNA, 465 nt
Filed under: uncultured bacterium
Lineage: Bacteria
Description: partial 16S ribosomal RNA
Rfam family: Bacterial small subunit ribosomal RNA
Source: RNAcentral
CCUACGGGAGGCAGCAGUGGGGAAUAUUGCGCAAUGGGCGAAAGCCUGACGCAGCGACGCCGCGUGAGGGAUGAAGGUCUUCGGAUCGUAAACCUCUGUCAGCAGGGAAGAACGGUCACUGUGCUAAUCAGCAGUGAAUUGACGGUACCUGCAAAGGAAGCACCGGAUAACUCCGUGCCAGCAGCCGCGGUAAUACGGAGGGUGCGAGCGUUAAUCGGAAUUAAUGGGCGUAAAGCGCUCGUAGGCGGUAUGUCAAGUCAAGGGUGAAAUCCCCGCGCUCAACGUGGGAACUGACUUUGAAACUGGCAAACUGGAGUGUGUGAGAGGAUAGUGGAAUUCCAGGUGUAGGGGUGAAAUCCGUAGAGAUCUGGAGGAACAUCAGUGGCGGAGGCGACUAUCUGGCACAUAACUGACGCUGAGGAGCGAAAGCGUGGGUAGCAAACAGGAUUAGAUACCCCGGUAGUC